AUUGAACGCUGGCGGCAUGCCUUACACAUGCAAGUCGAACGGCAGCGGGGGAGAAGCUUGCUUUUCCUGCCGGCGAGUGGCGAACGGGUGAGUAAUACAUCGGAACGUGCCCUGUAGUGGGGGAUAACUAGUCGAAAGAUUAGCUAAUACCGCAUACGACCUGAGGGUGAAAGUGGGGGACCGCAAGGCCUCAUGCUAUAGGAGCGGCCGAUGUCUGACUAGCUAGUUGGUGGGGUAAAGGCCUACCAAGGCGACGAUCAGUAGCUGGUCUGGGAGGACGAUCAGCCACACUGGGACUGAGACACGGCCCAGACUCCUACGGGAGCCAGCAGUGGGGAAUUUUGGACAAUGGGCGAAAGCCUGAUCCAGCAAUGCCGCGUGUGUGAAGAAGGCCUUCGGGUUGUAAAGCACUUUUGUCCGGAAAGAAAUGGCUCUGGUUAAUACCUGGGGUCGAUGACGGUACCGGAAGAAUAAGGACCGGCUAACUACGUGCCAGCCGCCGCCGUAA
Molecule: ribosomal RNA, 508 nt
Filed under: uncultured bacterium
Lineage: Bacteria
Description: partial 16S ribosomal RNA
Rfam family: Bacterial small subunit ribosomal RNA
Source: RNAcentral